RNAcentral lists this ribosomal RNA (481 nucleotides) under uncultured bacterium. RNAcentral's name for it is "partial 16S ribosomal RNA". It matches the Rfam family "Bacterial small subunit ribosomal RNA", at positions 28 to 507 of the family's 1533-position model. The record is from RNAcentral.
GAUGAACGCUGGCGGCGUGCCUAACACAUGCAAGUCGAACGGAGAUUACGGACGGAAGUUUUCGGAUGGAAGCCUGUAAUUCUUAGUGGCGGACGGGUGAGUAACGCGUGGGCAACCCGCCCUAUACAGGGGGAUAGCAGCUGGAAACGGCUGGUAAGACCGCAUAAGUCGGUUAAAUCGCAUGAUUUGAUCGGGAAAUGAGCAAUCAGGUAUAGGAUGGGCCCGCGUCCGAUUAGCCAGUUGGCAGGGUAAAAGCCUACCAAAGCGACGAUCGGUAGCCGGACUGAGAGGUCGGACGGCCACAUUGGGACUGAGACACGGCCCAAACUCCUACGGGAGGCAGCAGUGGGGGAUAUUGCACAAUGGAGGAAACUCUGAUGCAGCGACGCCGCGUGAGUGAAGAAGUAUUUCGGUAUGUAAAGCUCUAUCAGCAGGGAAGAUGAUGACGGUACCUGACGAAGAAGCCCCGGCUAACUACGUG